GUGUUUCUAUAAAAACGAAACGUUUUUUAACUAAACAAAGGACUGCGGUUAAUUUCUCUGAAAUAGAAGAGUUUUUUGGUAAAACCGCCAGCGAGGAACGACAGAGGCGCUCCGCGCUUUAUUAUUAGAUUAGAUGUGAUGGUCCUCUUUUUUCUAAUAAAUUAAAGGCCAGAUGUUUCUGAUUAAUGUGAGAUUUUGUAGUUAUUUUUGUAUUUUUGAUCGGUAUUUUGCUUUUGUAGUUGUG
Molecule: long non-coding RNA, 244 nt
Filed under: Hordeum vulgare
Lineage: Eukaryota; Viridiplantae; Streptophyta; Magnoliopsida; Poales; Poaceae
Description: long non-coding RNA (HVUL_LNC000802)
Source: RNAcentral